Molecule: ribosomal RNA, 477 nt
Filed under: Helotiales sp. GPO_CO_02_F2
Lineage: Eukaryota; Fungi; Ascomycota; Leotiomycetes; Helotiales
Description: eukaryotic LSU rRNA
Rfam family: 5.8S ribosomal RNA (bases 129-282)
Source: RNAcentral
CCUUUGUCUACCAUACUUUGUUGCUUUGGCAGGCCCGCCCUCGGGCCGCCGGCUUCGGCUGGCCAGUGCCUGCCAGAGGACCACAAACUCUUGUUUUUAGUGUCGUCUGAGUACUUGAUAAUAGUUAAAACUUUCAACAACGGAUCUCUUGGUUCUGGCAUCGAUGAAGAACGCAGCGAAAUGCGAUAAGUAAUGUGAAUUGCAGAAUUCAGUGAAUCAUCGAAUCUUUGAACGCACAUUGCGCCUAGCGGUAUUCCGCUAGGCAUGCCUGUUCGAGCGUCAUUUCAACCCUCAAGCCUGGCUUGGUAUUGGGCGUCACCAGCAUGGUGCGCCCUAAAAUCAGUGGCGGUGCCAUCUGGCUUCAAGCGUAGUAAUACUUCUCGCUCUGGAGGUCCAGGUGGUUGCUUGCCAAAACCCCAUACUUUCUAAGGUUGACCUCGGAUCAGGUAGGGAUACCCGCUGAACUUAAGCAUAUCA